GUAAUGGUUUCGACAGGGGUAUUGCACCUUUAGAAGCUAUCCGUAAGUGACGCGUCAGUUCACAAACCUAAAUAUAAACGCUGAUAAUAAUAAAUUAGCUUUCGCUGCCUAAUCGCAGUGUGUCCGUGAUAUUAGUACCUGUCUUAAUAUCUUAGGGCAUCAUCCAUUGACAGGAAACGACGUUAAGGCUGUCCCGUCUUAACGGGCGUAUCUGGGACUACCGGAUCAAAGAGAUAGUCAGGCAUCUCUUCGACGAGGGAAUCUUUAAGGUCUGACUGUGAUAGGAGAAGGAGAGGGAAUCUGCUUUUGGACACGGGUUCGACUCCCGUCUGGUCCA
Molecule: transfer-messenger RNA, 337 nt
Filed under: bovine gut metagenome
Rfam family: transfer-messenger RNA
About the family: Bacterial tmRNA, also known as 10Sa RNA or SsrA, is named for its dual tRNA and mRNA-like properties. Its role is to liberate the mRNA from a stalled ribosome.
Source: RNAcentral